AACAAAAUAGGGAUGAAAACGAAUUAAACAAAAACAAUUUUAUAUAUGUAUAAGUGCUUGGGCGGUUUACCCGUUUUUUCUCUUUUCCUCUUUCCCUUUCA
This 101-nucleotide non-coding RNA is filed under the name Chloropicon mariensis. Lineage: Eukaryota; Viridiplantae; Chlorophyta; Chloropicophyceae; Chloropicales; Chloropicaceae. The record is from RNAcentral.